UACAGAGGUCUCAAGCGUUGUUCGGAUUCAUUGGGCGUAAAGGGUGCGUAGGCGGCGCGGUAAGUCGGAUGUGAAAUCUCGGAGCUUAACUCCGAAACUGCAUUCGAUACUGCCGUGCUUGAGGACUGGAGAGGAGACUGGAAUUUACGGUGUAGCGGUGAAAUGCGUAGAUAUCAGGAGGAAUACCGGUGGCGAAAGCGACUCUCUGGACGGUAACUGACGCUGAGGCACGAAAGCGUGGGGAGCAAACAGG
RNAcentral lists this ribosomal RNA (253 nucleotides) under uncultured bacterium. RNAcentral describes it as "partial 16S ribosomal RNA". It matches the Rfam family "Bacterial small subunit ribosomal RNA", at positions 524 to 776 of the family's 1533-position model. The record is from RNAcentral.